AGAGUUUGAUCAUGGCUCAGAACGAACGCUGGCGGCAUGCCUAACACAUGCAAGUCGAACGCUAUUUAUAGAGUGGCGCACGGGUGAGUAACGCGUGGGGACCUGCCUUUUUCUGCGGGAUAACGGUUGGAAACGACCGCUAAUACCGCAUACGCCCUACGGGGGAAAGGUCCGCCGGAAAAAGAGGGGCCCGCGUCUGAUUAGCUUGUUGGUAAGGUAAUGGCUUACCAAGGCGACGAUCAGUAGCUGGUCUGAGAGGAUGAUCAGCCACACUGGGACUGAGACACGGCCCAGACUCCUACGGGAGGCAGCAGUGGGGAAUAUUGGACAAUGGGGGCAACCCUGAUCCAGCAAUGCCGCGUGUGUGAUGAAGGCCUUAGGGUUGUAAAGCACUUUCACUGGUGAAGAUGAUGACGGUAACCAGAGAAGAAGCCCCGGCUAACUUCGUGCCAGCCGCCGCGGUAAUAC
This 468-nucleotide ribosomal RNA is filed under the name uncultured bacterium. RNAcentral describes it as "bacterial SSU rRNA". It matches the Rfam family "Bacterial small subunit ribosomal RNA", at positions 8 to 526 of the family's 1533-position model. The record is from RNAcentral.